AUAUAAACCUUCAAGCUGAGUACCUAGCAUAAGCUGACCACUAACUAAAAGGAGUAAGCAGGGAACGUCUCUUGCACAUGGAGACAGUUGGAAAGAGCAGGACCUGUGAUCCGCCGCCGGGAUUUGGUUGGCCCAUGCACAGGAUGCAAGAGACUUUCAAAUGGACAAGGAAUUAGAACAAAAAUUAAGAAUAAGGAAAACAAACAUACAACAGAAAUCUCAGUCUGUCCCAG
Mauremys mutica (yellowpond turtle) is the source of this 233-nucleotide long non-coding RNA. RefSeq lists it as uncharacterized. Lineage: Eukaryota; Metazoa; Chordata; Testudines; Geoemydidae. The transcript has 3 exons. The record is from RefSeq and is a predicted model, not a curated record.